This 200-nucleotide long non-coding RNA is filed under the name Elaeis guineensis (African oil palm). RNAcentral's name for it is "long non-coding RNA (EGUI_LNC068736)". Lineage: Eukaryota; Viridiplantae; Streptophyta; Magnoliopsida; Arecales; Arecaceae. The record is from RNAcentral.
GGGUGAAGUGCUAUGUGCUAGCUUCCAUGUCAAACGAGUUAUAGAGCCAGCAUGAGCACAUGCCCACUGCUCGUGCCAUGAUCACUCACCUGCAAAAGUUAUACGGUGAGCAAAGCCAAACUGUGCACUUCAAGUUAUCCAAGUAGUUGUUCAAUAUGAAGAUGUGCGACAGGCAGUCAGUCCACAAUCAUUAUAUGACA